UACGGAGGGUCCGAGCGUUAUCCGGAUUUAUUGGGUUUAAAGGGUGCGCAGGCGGAUAUAUAAGUCAGAGGUGAAAUCCCACAGCUCAACUGUGGAACUGCCUUUGAUACUGUAUAUCUUGAAUUAAGUUGGAGUAGGCGGAAUGUAGCAUGUAGCGGUGAAAUGCUUAGAUAUGCUACAGAACACCAAUCGCGAAGGCAGCUUACUAAACUUACAUUGACGCUCAGGCACGAAAGCGUGGGUAGCGAACAGG
RNAcentral lists this ribosomal RNA (253 nucleotides) under uncultured bacterium. Its description in RNAcentral is "partial 16S ribosomal RNA". It matches the Rfam family "Bacterial small subunit ribosomal RNA", at positions 524 to 776 of the family's 1533-position model. The record is from RNAcentral.